GCCUAGGGACGCAGCAGUGAGGAAUAUUGGUCAAUGGCCGAGAGGCUGAACCAGCCAAGUCGCGUGAGGGAAGACGGCCCUACGGGUUGUAAACCUCUUUUGUCGGGGAGCAAAGCGAACCACGUGUGGUUCAUUGAGAGUACCCGAAGAAAAAGCAUCGGCUAACUCCGUGCCAGCAGCCGCGGUAAUACGGAGGAUGCGAGCGUUAUCCGGAUUUAUUGGGUUUAAAGGGUGCGCAGGCGGAGGUGCAAGUCAGCGGUCAAAUUGCGGGGCUCAACCCCGUACUGCCGUUGAAACUGCAUCCC
RNAcentral lists this ribosomal RNA (305 nucleotides) under uncultured bacterium. RNAcentral's name for it is "bacterial SSU rRNA". It matches the Rfam family "Bacterial small subunit ribosomal RNA", at positions 337 to 641 of the family's 1533-position model. The record is from RNAcentral.